GGUGGCUCAGUGGUAGAGUGCAUGCCUUGCAAGAAUGAGGCCCUGGGUUCCAUUCCUCAGCACCA
Molecule: non-coding RNA, 65 nt
Organism: Dipodomys ordii (Ord's kangaroo rat)
Lineage: Eukaryota; Metazoa; Chordata; Mammalia; Rodentia; Heteromyidae
Source: Rfam